AGUGAACGCUGGCGGCAGGCCUAACACAUGCAAGUCGAACGGCAGCACAAGAGAGCUUGCUCUCUGGGUGGCGAGUGGCGGGCGGGUGAGGAAUGCAUCGGAAUCUGCCCAUUUGUGGGGGAUAACCUCGGGAAACCGGGACUAAUACCGCAUACGACCUACGGGUGAAAGCAGGGGAUCUUCGGACCUUGCGCAGAUGGAUGAGCCGAUGCCGGAUUAGCUAGUUGGAGGGGUAAAGGCCCACCAAGGCGACGAUCCGUAGCUGGUCUGAGAGGAUGAUCAGCCACACUGGGACUGAGACACGGCCCAGACUCCUGCGGGAGGCAGCAGUGGGGAAUAUUGGACAAUGGGCGCAAGCCUGAUCCAGCCAUGCCGCGUGUGUGAAGAAGGCCUUCGGGUUGUAAAGCACUUUUGUUGGGAAAGAAAAGCAGCCGGUUAAUACCCGGUUGUCAUGACGGUACCCAAAGAAUAAGCACCGGCUAACUUCGUG
RNAcentral lists this ribosomal RNA (490 nucleotides) under uncultured bacterium. RNAcentral's name for it is "partial 16S ribosomal RNA". It matches the Rfam family "Bacterial small subunit ribosomal RNA", at positions 29 to 507 of the family's 1533-position model. The record is from RNAcentral.